ACCGCCAGCGCGAAAAGCAGCAGGAAGAGUGCGCUGCCGAGCGCCUCUGCGCCGGCCUCAGCUCCCGGAGCCUUCCACAUUCCCCAAACUUGGGAGCGAACUCAGCCGCCGCUCCUAGGCCCGCCGCUCCGCCACGCCCCUCGCUCCCUGUAUUUCUAUUGGUCGGGUGCCUCGAGGUUCCGCCCCAACUCCGUGGCGAUUGGCUCGCUGAAUAUAGGGCUCUGGGGCCUAGCGGCCGGUGACUUACUGGCAUUGCCCAGCACCCGGCCGCUUCUGGCACCGAUCCUCGAAAGCCCUUUUGGGGUGUGAACACCAGGUGAUUGACGACGAUCCGGACAGCUCCACCCACUGGGCUGAACUGAUUCUGCCUUCCUGGGAGCCACUGCGAUCUUAAAGUGUCUUUUAGGUACCAGAGCAGCACAUGGCCUUAGCUAAAAGCCAAGAAGUUGCUGGUGCCAUGUUCUUGACCCCUCGAAUUGUCAGCUGCAUAAACAUCUUCUUUGUAAUUUUCUGUCACAGCAACAGAAAGCAGAAGACAUCAGAGAGUGUCAGGUAAUGAUAUCACAUCCAGAGAGCUCUCUGCCUGAUUCCUUUGUUUGCUGCAUGAGAAGAAGAAAAGCUGGUCAGAAUUAAUU
Long non-coding RNA from Fukomys damarensis (Damara mole-rat), 635 nucleotides. RefSeq lists it as uncharacterized. The record is from RefSeq and is a predicted model, not a curated record. The transcript has 3 exons. NCBI's taxonomy places the organism in Eukaryota, Metazoa, Chordata, Mammalia, Rodentia, Bathyergidae.